Molecule: long non-coding RNA, 989 nt
Filed under: Salmo salar (Atlantic salmon)
Lineage: Eukaryota; Metazoa; Chordata; Actinopteri; Salmoniformes; Salmonidae
Description: lncRNA (ENSSSAG00000093838.1)
Source: RNAcentral
UGUGUCUGGAUUACCUGUGGAGCAACUGAACAGACGUGGAACACUUGUGUGGAUGGUGGGAGGGGCCCCACCAGAGUGUGUGUGUGUGUGUGUUCCUGGAAGCUGCAGGUAUAUGUUACUGGAAGACUGAGAAGCACCUGAUGACAAUUCUUGGAAUUGUGGACACUUGCUGCGUACACACAUGUGUGGACACACAUUCACUGCUGACAGGUCUGUGGCUGCCAGAGUAAAGAAAAGAUGGUCUGGGUUGGAAGGGACAUGCUGUUACAGCAUCAGGACCAGGAGGAGUCUAGAAGACGUGGUGGAGGAACUAGUGGAUUUAAACACACCUUCCUGGGAGAAAGGAGAUGGGGCUGACAAGACGCAGGGUCCUGAAUGUUCUUCAGCUGGUGAACGUCGUCUUGUGUUGGGCAAUGGCAGCUGGUCUCGCAGAACUUCAUGACCUUGGACUCAUAGACUAUACACUUUGGCUCUUGCCAGCCCUGUGCAGUCGUUUCCUCUUCCGAGUCAGAUGAUGUUAAGCUGGUGUCAAGGCAGAAAAAUGUUGCUGGGAUUGACACUCACCAAGGAGCUGUACCGUACCUGUCACCAAGUAAGAUGCUGCUGUUGAUAUUGUUGUUGUUGUUGUCUUGGUGAUUGUCAUUCCAACCUUCCUGGGAAUCAUCUGUUCUAGAGCCAUCCAAGAUGCAGAGAUAGCUGACACUCACAUGUCAUCGGCAGCCCCAGUGCAUUAGAUACCCUAUAGAGAAAUGGUGCAGUGAUCUGUGUUGCUGAUCACCUGUCGUCUUUGUAUUGACUCUACUGACGUGAAUAAGACUUGAAAUGUGAAUGUGAAUCAACUCUGAAUUAAAUCCCAAUCAAAUCUGGAUCUGGAUCCAGGGAAGUUUUAUGAGUCAUUGUUUCAGUGGAUUGUGUGGAAUUUCCUUUCCAUUGGAGACUGACAUGUAAUCUUUCACUAUUUACUGUGAGGAUACAAAUUGUGUUUGCAG